CCUACGGGUGGCAGCAGUGAGGAAUAUUGGUCAAUGGGCGGAAGCCUGAACCAGCCAAGUAGCGUGCGGGAUGAAGGCCCUACGGGUCGUAAACCGCUUUUGCACGGGGAUAACACCCUCCACUUGUGGCGGUCUGCAGGUACCGUGCGAAUAAGGGCCGGCUAAUUCCGUGCCAACAGCCGCGGUAAUACGGAAGGCCCGAGCGUUAUCCGGAUUCCUUGGGCUUAAAGGGAGCGUAGGCGGGAGUUCAAGUCAGCGGGAAAAUCGCGGGGCGCAACCGCGCCCCGCAGUUGAAACUGGACGCCUUGAGUUCACAACAGGCAGGCGGAAUUCGUGGUGUAGCGGUGAAAUGCAUAGAUAUCACGAAGAACCCCGAUUGCGAAGGCAGCCUGCCGGGGUGCGACUGACGCUGAGGCUCGAAGGUGCGGGUAUCAAACAGGAUUAGAUACCCUAGUAGUC
This 459-nucleotide ribosomal RNA is filed under the name uncultured bacterium. RNAcentral describes it as "partial 16S ribosomal RNA". It matches the Rfam family "Bacterial small subunit ribosomal RNA", at positions 338 to 795 of the family's 1533-position model. The record is from RNAcentral.